This 441-nucleotide long non-coding RNA is filed under the name Ananas comosus (pineapple). Its description in RNAcentral is "long non-coding RNA (ACOM_LNC001329)". The record is from RNAcentral. Lineage: Eukaryota; Viridiplantae; Streptophyta; Magnoliopsida; Poales; Bromeliaceae.
UAAACAUGAUUUAUACCACUUGAAGUAUUUAGAAACUAAAAUUUAAAUUUUUUCGAUAUCAUUGGCCUAAUAAUCAAAGGGUUUCAAAAUUUGUAAUUUUAAUGAUCGAUAUAAGACGUUUUCUUGUUUAGCGGCAUAAAGAUAUCUAAAUUAAUUGAAUUUUGGUUAUAAAAUUUUUUAAACUAUUUAGAAUAAGAUCUAUACUCUUGAUCUUGAUUAUAAAACUUAUGUCAUCACUUUUUAAAGGAUACUCAUUUUUAGUCGUUUAUUUUUGUGUCCACUUAAUGAAGAAAAGAACAAUGUAAAAAAAAUAUAAAAUUUGAUUUUUAGAUGUUUUAAGUAGUAUAGAUCAUGUUCAACGGUGCGGAUCGUCGAUUUGAAAGCUCAAUUAUAAAAAUAAAUGAGUGGCAACGGAACCUGUUUGCUACUAAUAGUAUUCCA